UAAAUUAGUUUAGUGCUAUAAUAUGUAAAGUAAUAUAUUGUUUAGUAUUAUUUAGAAAAUUUUGUUAGUUUAAUGUACUGUAAAGGACCUUUUAAUUUUUAGAAAAGAAAAAUUUAACGUUUGUACCUUGUGUAUUAGGGGUAAUUAAAAUAAUAAAUAAGUUAUUUUUCCCGAUAUAUUUGUGGGCUAAGGCUUUAUUAUAUUAAUGUUGCAUAAUUAGUAUUAAUUUUGUCUUAGGGAUGAUAUAUUAUUCAAACAAUAAGGUUUCUGGUUCUUUAAGAAUUUAAUUUAAUUAAGGUUAAAUUUUAUUUUAAAUUUAAUUAAUAUUUAUAAAGGGAUAAGCUUUUAUAAAUAAUUUAUAUAAUUUAUUGAUUUUUAAAUUAUUUAGAUUUAAGAGUGAUCUAAUUUUUACAGUGUUAUAAUGAAGUUUUAUUUUAAUUUAUUUUUGAGGGUGUUAUAUUAUAUAUUAAAGUAUUUUGAUAAUUUAGACAUAUUAGCAAUAAUGAUUAUAUUAGUAGUAAUUUACUUAUUUAAUUUAAUUAAAGAUAUAGUUAAAUUUAAGGAAUUCGGCAAUUUUAAUUUUCGCCUGUUUAGCAAAAACAUGGUUUUUUGGUUUUAAGUAAAAAAUCAGGCCUGCCCACUGAUAUAUUGAAGGGCUGCAGUAUUUUGACUGUACAAAGGUAGCAUAAUCAUUAGUCUUUUAAUUGGGGACUGGUAUGAAAGGUUCGACGGAGAUUAGCUGUCUCAAGUUUAAAAUUAUAAAAUUUAUUUUUAGGGAAAAGGGCCUAAAUAACACAAAGGGACGAGAAGACCCUAUUAAAUUUUAUUUUUAAUAGGUAAGAUUUUAUUUGAAUAAAGGUUUUACUUGCUAAAUAAUUUUGCUGGGGCGGCAAGUAGUUAACACUAUUAAUUUUUAAUAUAUUAAGCAGCGUCAAUAUGAUCCAUUUUGGGUGAUAUAAAGAUUAAAUUACUAUAGGGAUAACAGCGUAAUGUUUUUUGAGAGUUCAUAUUGACAAAAACGUUUGCGACCUCGAUGUUGGAUUAAGAAGUCUUACUGGUGUAGUAGUUGGUAUAGAAGGUCUGUUCGACCUUUAAAUUCUUACAUGAUCUGAGUUCAGACCGGCGUGAGCCAGGUCGGUUUCUAUCUUUUGUUAUAAAUUUUUAAAUUAGUACGAAAGGACCAUUUAAUAUAAAAUUUUUAUUAUAAGUGAUUUUAGUAAAACUCCAUGAAAAUUGAUAAUA
RNAcentral lists this ribosomal RNA (1242 nucleotides) under Tropostreptus microcephalus. Its description in RNAcentral is "16S ribosomal RNA". The stretch from base 796 to 1151 matches the Rfam family "Archaeal large subunit ribosomal RNA", at positions 2150 to 2716 of the family's 2987-position model. The record is from RNAcentral. Lineage: Eukaryota; Metazoa; Arthropoda; Diplopoda; Spirostreptida; Spirostreptidae.